GAUUGAAGAACGUAGCGAAAUGCGAUACGUAAUGUGAAUUGCAGAAUUCAGUGAAUCAUCGAGUCUUUGAACGCACAUUGCGCCCCCUGGUAUUCCGGGGGGCAUGCCUGUCCGAGCGUCAUUGCUGCCCUCAAGCACGGCUUGUGUGUUGGGCCUCCGUCCUCCUCCCGGGGGACGGGCCCGAAAGGCAGCGGCGGCACCGCGUCCGGUCCUCGAGCGUAUGGGGCUUCGUCACCCGCUCUUGUAGGCCCGGCCGGCGCUUGCCGACACAUCAAUCUUUUUUCCAGGUUGACCUCGGAUCAGGUAGGGAUACCCGCUGAACUUAAGCAUAUCAAUAAGCGGAGGA
This 346-nucleotide unclassified non-coding RNA is filed under the name soil metagenome. Its description in RNAcentral is "partial contains 5.8S ribosomal RNA, internal transcribed spacer 2, and large subunit ribosomal RNA". The stretch from base 4 to 121 matches the Rfam family "5.8S ribosomal RNA", at positions 37 to 154 of the family's 154-position model. The record is from RNAcentral.